CCUUCUCAAACAGCAAUGUUUGGUUGUGAGUGAUACUCAUUCGAGUUAGCUUGAAAUUGCUGGCCGAUGGCUGUUGUGGCUGAGUGUCUCCCUCGGGAGAGCACUUGCUGCGUUAGGGACGUCCUGCUGGACAUCUUCGUACUAGGUUUUACCAAUUCGAGGACGGUUAGCGAGGCGGCCUGCAGUGAGUGUAGUGCUUGACUACGUUGCACCAUGGCGAACAGUGUUCUUUUAAGU
This 237-nucleotide ribosomal RNA is filed under the name Monosporozyma unispora. Its description in RNAcentral is "Kazachstania unispora ribosomal RNA". Lineage: Eukaryota; Fungi; Ascomycota; Saccharomycetes; Saccharomycetales; Saccharomycetaceae. The record is from RNAcentral.